Molecule: non-coding RNA, 27 nt
Filed under: Homo sapiens (human)
Lineage: Eukaryota; Metazoa; Chordata; Mammalia; Primates; Hominidae
Source: RNAcentral
UGACAGAUGCAAUUGUGACAUACGUGG